CCGCCUGGCUUCAGCCCCUCAGGCGAUGGCUGAGUGAGGGAGGGGAGGCGGCGGCGGCUGGGGUUUCAUUCGACGCCCACCAGGGGCUGAGCGAGCCUCCUUCAGUGCGCAAACUCGGGGCACCACAUAAAAGCUGGGCUGGCAGCUCUUUACUCUGCCUCGAUGGAGCCGCCACAAGCGGGUCACCGGAGAAGCCGCUAGCAGCGGUGCCGUAGCCUAGGCUUCCCCGUACCUUGGGCACAGAGGGGCUGUAAAGAACCGCUGCUGCGGCAGGAAGGAGUCGGGAUGAAGGGAUCUGGAUGCAGAGGAGGCGGCUGUAACGAGGCAUCGAGUAUGGGGGGAGGGAGUGAUUAAACGUCUUGUGGCCAUGGCGGAGUCUGAGGAUAGAGUAACUGAUGCACGGGGAGAUGCAGUGACUUGCCCAGUGUCACCCAGUAGGUCAGUGGCUGAGCUGGAAAUAGAGCCCAGGUUUCUUGAGUCCCAAUCCAGUGGUCUGUCCUCUGCCUGCCUGUGCAUGGGGCUUCAGAUUUUGCAUCUCAUCAGAAAGACAGCAUCUCAGAACAAAGUUUUCAGCUCCAAAGCAGAAUUCUUCAGAAAGUUGUGAGCAUGGAAAAUACCAUUAUAAUGAAAGCCUCAACAUUAAACUCACCUACCAGUGAAAAUGAUAGUGAAGGUAAUGCAUUACAAGCCUUAUCAUUACAAAAGCAAUCCUUUUGGUGAUUUCAUACUAGAAAUUCCAUCGGUGCGGCUAUUUAAAAAUUAACAAUGUGCUUUAGUACAAUCUGAGCUGUUAUUGACUCCUGUAUUUUUUUAAUUUAGAAGAAAUAAAAUCUUACAAUUUCUGUAACAGUA
Molecule: long non-coding RNA, 852 nt
Organism: Trachemys scripta elegans
Lineage: Eukaryota; Metazoa; Chordata; Testudines; Emydidae
Exons: 3
Source: RefSeq, a predicted model, not a curated record